Molecule: long non-coding RNA, 107 nt
Organism: Coregonus clupeaformis (lake whitefish)
Lineage: Eukaryota; Metazoa; Chordata; Actinopteri; Salmoniformes; Salmonidae
Exons: 3
Source: RefSeq, a predicted model, not a curated record
AGGGUUAGUUGGUAUAGUGGUGAGGUUUUAAUGGGUGUAGGGUUAGUUGGUAUAGUGGUAAGGUUUUAAUGGGUAUAGGGUUAGUUGGUAUAGUGGUGAGGUUUUAA